AUUGAACGCUGGCGGCAUGCUUUACACAUGCAAGUCGAACGGCAGCGCGGGCUUCGGCCUGGCGGCGAGUGGCGAACGGGUGAGUAAUGCAUCGGAACGUGCCCAGUAGUGGGGGAUAGCCCGGCGAAAGCCGGAUUAAUACCGCAUACGACCUGAGGGUGAAAGCGGGGGACCGAAAGGCCUCGCGCUAUUGGAGCGGCCGAUGUCGGAUUAGCUAGUUGGUGGGGUAAAGGCUUACCAAGGCGACGAUCCGUAGCUGGUCUGAGAGGACGACCAGCCACACUGGGACUGAGACACGGCCCAGACUCCUACGGGAGGCAGCAGUGGGGAAUUUUGGACAAUGGAGGCAACCCUGAUCCAGCCAUGCCGCGUGCGGGAAGAAGGCCUUCGGGUUGUAAACCGCUUUUGUUCGGGAAGAAAUCCUCUGGGCUAAUACCCCGGGGGGAUGACGGUACCGGAAGAAUAAGCACCGGCUAACUACGUG
Molecule: ribosomal RNA, 484 nt
Filed under: uncultured bacterium
Lineage: Bacteria
Description: partial 16S ribosomal RNA
Rfam family: Bacterial small subunit ribosomal RNA
Source: RNAcentral